Molecule: ribosomal RNA, 923 nt
Filed under: Cutibacterium acnes
Lineage: Bacteria; Bacillati; Actinomycetota; Actinomycetes; Propionibacteriales; Propionibacteriaceae
Description: bacterial SSU rRNA
Rfam family: Bacterial small subunit ribosomal RNA
Source: RNAcentral
AAGGCCCUGCUUUUGUGGGGUGCUCGAGUGGCGAACGGGUGAGUAACACGUGAGUAACCUGCCCUUGACUUUGGGAUAACUUCAGGAAACUGGGGCUAAUACCGGAUAGGAGCUCCUGCUGCAUGGUGGGGGUUGGAAAGUUUCGGCGGUUGGGGAUGGACUCGCGGCUUAUCAGCUUGUUGGUGGGGUAGUGGCUUACCAAGGCUUUGACGGGUAGCCGGCCUGAGAGGGUGACCGGCCACAUUGGGACUGAGAUACGGCCCAGACUCCUACGGGAGGCAGCAGUGGGGAAUAUUGCACAAUGGGCGGAAGCCUGAUGCAGCAACGCCGCGUGCGGGAUGACGGCCUUCGGGUUGUAAACCGCUUUCGCCUGUGACGAAGCGUGAGUGACGGUAAUGGGUAAAGAAGCACCGGCUAACUACGUGCCAGCAGCCGCGGUGAUACGUAGGGUGCGAGCGUUGUCCGGAUUUAUUGGGCGUAAAGGGCUCGUAGGUGGUUGAUCGCGUCGGAAGUGUAAUCUUGGGGCUUAACCCUGAGCGUGCUUUCGAUACGGGUUGACUUGAGGAAGGUAGGGGAGAAUGGAAUUCCUGGUGGAGCGGUGGAAUGCGCAGAUAUCAGGAGGAACACCAGUGGCGAAGGCGGUUCUCUGGGCCUUUCCUGACGCUGAGGAGCGAAAGCGUGGGGAGCGAACAGGCUUAGAUACCCUGGUAGUCCACGCUGUAAACGGUGGGUACUAGGUGUGGGGUCCAUUCCACGGGUUCCGUGCCGUAGCUAACGCUUUAAGUACCCCGCCUGGGGGAGUACGCCGCAAGGCUAAAACUCAAAGGAAUUGACGGGGCCCCGCACAAGCGGCGGAGCAUGCGGAUUAAUUCGAUGCAACGCGUAGAACCUUACCUGGGUUUGACAUGGAUCGGGAGUGCUCA